UUGGAGUCUGCAACCCGACUCCAUGAAGCUGGAUUCGCUAGUAAUCGCGCAUCAGCCACGGCGCGGUGAAUACGUUCCCGGGCCCUUGUACACACCGCCCGUCAAGCCAUGGAAGCCGGGAGUGCCUGAAGUGCGUGAGCGCAAGCAGCGCCCUAAGGUAAAACCGGUGACUGGGGCUAAGUCGUAACAAGGUAGC
RNAcentral lists this ribosomal RNA (196 nucleotides) under uncultured bacterium. RNAcentral describes it as "partial 16S ribosomal RNA". It matches the Rfam family "Bacterial small subunit ribosomal RNA", at positions 1298 to 1500 of the family's 1533-position model. The record is from RNAcentral.